Molecule: transfer RNA, 97 nt
Filed under: Leptolinea sp.
Lineage: Bacteria; Bacillati; Chloroflexota; Anaerolineae; Anaerolineales; Anaerolineaceae
Description: tRNA-Sec
Rfam family: Selenocysteine transfer RNA
Source: RNAcentral
GGGAAUGGUAGAGCCCCGGUGGGUUUCCCUGUCUUCAAAACUGGCGGCGGGCUGUUAUGCAGGCCGCGGUGGGUUCGACUCCCAUCCAUUCCCGCCA